RNAcentral lists this ribosomal RNA (459 nucleotides) under uncultured Treponema sp. RNAcentral describes it as "partial 16S ribosomal RNA". It matches the Rfam family "Bacterial small subunit ribosomal RNA", at positions 341 to 792 of the family's 1533-position model. The record is from RNAcentral. Lineage: Bacteria; Pseudomonadati; Spirochaetota; Spirochaetia; Treponematales; Treponemataceae.
ACGGAAGGCAGCAGCUAAGAAUAUUCCGCAAUGGGCGAAAGCCUGACGGAGCGACGCCGCGUGGAUGAUGAAGGCCGGAAGGUUGUAAAAUCCUUUUAUACAUGAGGAAGAAGCAGUACAGGAAAUGGUAUUGUGGUGACUGUAGUGUAUGAAUAAGCAACGGCUAAUUACGUGCCAGCAGCCGCGGUAACACGUAAGUUGCGAGCGUUGUUCGGAAUUAUUGGGCGUAAAGGGCAUGUAGGCGGUUCUGCAAGCUUGGUGUGAAAGGCAGGAGCUUAACUCCUGGACUGCGUUGAGAACUGUAGAACUAGAGUGACUGAGGAGCAAUCAGAAUUCCAGGUGUAGGGGUGAAAUCUGUAGAUAUCUGGAAGAAUACCAAUGGCGAAGGCAGCCUGCCAGCAGAUGACUGACGCUGAGGUGCGAAGGUGCGGGGAGCAAACAGGAUUAGAUACCCUGGUA